Molecule: ribosomal RNA, 710 nt
Filed under: uncultured bacterium
Lineage: Bacteria
Description: bacterial SSU rRNA
Rfam family: Bacterial small subunit ribosomal RNA
Source: RNAcentral
AGCGGCGGACGGGUGAGUAACGCGUGGGUAACCUGCCCUGUACACACGGAUAACAUACCGAAAGGUAUGCUAAUACGAGAUAAUAUACUUUUAUCGCAUGGUAGAAGUAUCAAAGCUUUUGCGGUACAGGAUGGACCCGCGUCUGAUUAGCUAGUUGGUAAGGUGACGGCUUACCAAGGCGACGAUCAGUAGCCGACCUGAGAGGGUGAUCGGCCACAUUGGAACUGAGACACGGUCCAAACUCCUACGGGAGGCAGCAGUGGGGAAUAUUGCACAAUGGGCGAAAGCCUGAUGCAGCAACGCCGCGUGAGCGAUGAAGGCCUUCGGGUCGUAAAGCUCUGUCCUCAAGGAAGAUAAUGACGGUACUUGAGGAGGAAGCCCCGGCUAACUACGUGCCAGCAGCCGCGGUAAUACGUAGGGGGCUAGCGUUAUCCGGAAUUACUGGGCGUAAAGGGUGCGUAGGUGGUUUCUUAAGUCAGAGGUGAAAGGCUACGGCUCAACCGUAGUAAGCCUUUGAAACUGGGAAACUUGAGUGCAGGAGAGGAGAGUGGAAUUCCUAGUGUAGCGGUGAAAUGCGUAGAUAUUAGGAGGAACACCAGUUGCGAAGGCGGCUCUCUGGACUGUAACUGACACUGAGGCACGAAAGCGUGGGGAGCAAACAGGAUUAGAUACCCUGGUAGUCCACGCCGUAAACGAUGAGUACUAGCUGU